Molecule: ribosomal RNA, 354 nt
Filed under: Agoristenus haitensis
Lineage: Eukaryota; Metazoa; Arthropoda; Arachnida; Opiliones; Agoristenidae
Description: partial large subunit ribosomal RNA
Rfam family: Bacterial large subunit ribosomal RNA (bases 105-354)
Source: RNAcentral
CUUUUUAAUUGAAGGCUGGAAUGAAAGGUAGAAUUUUGAAGGGUUGGUUUUAAGAGAAUACUUUGAAUUUUAGUUAAUAAUAAGAAUGUUUUUAUAAACUUUUGGGACGAGAAGACCCUAGAAGCUUGAAAUUAUUGAGUUUUUGGUUGGGGUGACUAUUGAAGAUAUUAAUCUUUUAAUAAUUAGUAUGUUGGAAGUUACUCUAGGGAUAACAGCGUUAUUUAAUUGAAGAGUUCUUAUCAAAAAUUAAUGUUGCGACCUCGAUGUUGAAUUAAAUUUUAAAUAAGGUGAAGGAGCUUUAUUUGGUAGUCUGUUCGACUAUUGAAAAUUUACGUGAUCUGAGUUCAGACCGGA